This 253-nucleotide ribosomal RNA is filed under the name uncultured soil bacterium. RNAcentral describes it as "partial 16S ribosomal RNA". It matches the Rfam family "Bacterial small subunit ribosomal RNA", at positions 26 to 288 of the family's 1533-position model. The record is from RNAcentral.
AGGACGAACGCUGGCGGCGUGCUUAACACAUGCAAGUCACGGGGGUCCCGCAAGGGAUAACCGGCGAACGGGUGCGUAACACGUGAACAACCUGCCCUCGUGUGGGGGAUAGCCGGGCUAACGCCCGGGUAAUACCGCAUACGUUCUCUUUGGGGAGUCCCGAGGAGAGGAAAGCUCCGGCGCACGGGGGAGGGUUCGCGGCCUAUCAGCUAGUUGGCGGGGUAAUGGCCCACCAAGGCGACGACGGGUAGCU